AAGUGAGUCCAAGGAGGAGGAAAUUGCCAUUUUGCUGACACUGAGGUUUUGUGAGAGGAAUUGCUUUGUUUCAAGAAUGUCACAUAAACAUUUGGACAAGCUUUGUUCAGGAAGUGGCUGCAUCCCGUGGGGUUUCCUCUGCUGAAGGAGAAUGUGUACACCUGCAAUAAAUCCCCAGUUAGGCCAGCUCUGAAGCACAGCAGCUUCUCUGCAGUUUCUAGAAAAGGCAUGACAAGCAAUGGUGCUAUGAAGCAAUUUCCUGCGGUGGAAGAAGUGCUGGUGAAAAUGGAAAUGGAGAAAUGAAACAAAUAAUGGAUGAAAGAAAGUAAUCUCUCUCCCACCUUCCACUUCUGAGUAACACAGAAACCAUCCCAAGGAGAAUAAAGAAUAAAGUAGAAAACUGCAAUGCCCAGAGUUCAAACUCUGAGAUUUCUUGAUGCUUUUGUGCAAGAUGUGAGGAAUCAAAGGGUCCAAAUUUGAGGAAGCUCUGAAACCCCAGCUAGACUUCGUGAUUAGUGUUUAACCUCAGUCAUGUUCAGUUAUACUUUGUCACUUUUAGUGGAAUUUCAAAAGACUACACAAAAAUUUGUGUCCUUUGCAUUUUGGUGGCCAGCAUCAAGCGCAUUCCAGUGCUGUAAUAUGUGACACUGCAUGGCUGUGGUGUCAACCUUAGCUUGAGUUGCAGGAUCAGCUGAGUUGUUCUCUUCAUGUGUCUUCAACUUAAAUAAUCCAUGAACUUGUGCUGGACUUCCACAAGGUCAUCCUGUGCCCCUCUGCAUGGGGAAAACAAAGGGAAAACAAACAUGGUAAAUGUAAUCAAAGUGGCAGAUUAUAGGUGAAGUUCAGAAAGUGGAAUUAAAAGUGUUCCAGAAGCUGUAGUUUUCUAAGUGACCACAAGUACUUUAGAAAGCAGUUGGGGAUGUAGAUAUGAUAUGCUAUUGAUAUCUAGAAUGGUGAGAUGAGUACUGGGCAGAAAAUCUUAGUUUGGUAAGGAAAUAGGUAGAAAAACCCCAAAACCAAAAUAACACCCCAAAGCUGAGAGAAUGCUUGUAAACUCUGGUGUACCUUCUCACCUAAGGUAACAGCUCUCUGUGGGAGUUGUCCUACUGGCCUUUAGCUGUAUUCUAUUUAAGGAGGUGCUCAAUUCACCACAGAAAAACCAAUUUGGUCCUUAACAGAACCCCUUUGUGUUGUUUAUUGUUCUCCUUUGGUUGUGCAUUGCAGAUGUGCCUAAAGCCACACUCAAGUUUACUUCUGUGAAUCCCUUCUCUCUUGGGUGAAAUUCAGUUUAAAAAAAAUAGCAGAAAAGAAUUGUUUGGAUUGAGAAACAUCUGUACAAGAUCUUAAGGGCAAGGGAGGCAAGUGAGAAACUUGUGUUGGUCGAUUGCUCUUCAGUGCUAAGAGCAUUCCUCAGGUGGGUGGGAUUGUUUCCGUUGUUGAUGCAGUGGGUUUUUAGAAAUUUAAUCUUGGAAAAUUAAAGCACAUGAAAUAUUUCAACUUUGCUGUGUGAGGUAUUGUUGAUAAAGAUGUAUUAAAAGUGAGGAGCUCUGGGAUGAAUUUUCUUAAUGCAAAGCUGUGCAGUUUCACACGUGGUUGUGAAAGCUCUAAUAUUCCCUCCU
Molecule: long non-coding RNA, 1619 nt
Organism: Zonotrichia leucophrys gambelii
Lineage: Eukaryota; Metazoa; Chordata; Aves; Passeriformes; Passerellidae
Exons: 4
Source: RefSeq, a predicted model, not a curated record